AUUAUAUUAUAUACCGCCAAAAAAAAAAAAUAAACGUGAAAAACGGACAUCCGCGAUUUAAAUAUCAAUUGUUUGUUCGGCGAAACUGAAACUUUACAAUUGCAACACCGCUAUCUAUGUUCCAAUAAAUUCUAAAGCUCCAGCUCGAUCGGAAAUACUCUAGACGUAUGAUAUUAUGAUGACACGUCGGCCGGUGAGCGAGUCAGUGGGUCAGCCAGUCUCCGAACUUAUUGUGAUUUUCGGACACAAUAGUAUUUUGGAGACGUAGACGUACGACAUUCGCGAGAUACUGCUUCCGUCCGGCGCCUAACCUAACUCGGACGAAUUCAAUCCUGUCACAUAACUACCCUCAUAAUAAUACGUCCACUUUAUAAUAUAAUAUUAUAGCGGCGUCGAAAUGCAGGUUCGUGUAAAUAUAAUUGUGCUCGGAUUGGGGCGGCCGUUAGUACAUUGUUCUAUUACAAUUAUAGCGGCCUGUUUCAGUAAAAUCCGACGGGAAUAGUAAUAAUUUCUACACGAGACCUAUCAGGUAAAAAAAAUACAUAUGUUAGUUCCUACAACGUAAAAAAUGGUAGGUUAAACAGAGAAUUGUAUUCGUUGUGAAGUUUGCUGAGGCUGCAUUUUUGGUAGAAAAUCAAAAAAUAAUUCAAUAAUAAUAUAAUAGUAUGGAUAAGGGGCGAUAAUAUAAUCGCGCUCGUUUCAACCGUUAUACUUGUUAGUAUAUCUAUGACGAUAAGUUACCGAUAAAGCAGACAUCUAAAUUCAAUUUUUGAACACACGCACACACAUUUGCGACUUUUCAUUA
Molecule: non-coding RNA, 805 nt
Organism: Cinara cedri
Lineage: Eukaryota; Metazoa; Arthropoda; Insecta; Hemiptera; Aphididae
Source: the annotation of a GenBank genome assembly